This is a long non-coding RNA of Macaca fascicularis (crab-eating macaque), 2103 nucleotides long. The record is from Ensembl. NCBI's taxonomy places the organism in Eukaryota, Metazoa, Chordata, Mammalia, Primates, Cercopithecidae.
AUUAUGUAUGAGGACACAAACUUCUGAAGGACAGAGACUAUAACUGAUGCACAUUUAUUUCUCCUAUAGGGAGGGAGAAGUGUAGUUUUUGAGAACAUCUAAAUUGACAGCCUAUUAUGAUACCAUUUUUUUGUUGUUGUUGUUGUGGGGGAAGUAGGAUAUCCUUGUUGUAUUCUAACAAUGAGGCUGAGUCUCAGACAUGAGUCUGAACCCUGUAGGGAUAGUAAAUUCUUCCUUUUCCCAGUUCUCCUUUCUUACUAAUAUAGGUGCAGAAUGGUCUGUUCAAGUCACGGAAGCUCUUGGCUGAAGAAGGAGUCUCCCUGAGCACACAGGAAGGUCUUAGUUCCAGAGAGGCUAUGGGGGCUACAGAGAGGGCCAGAGCAGAUGGCACACUCCGUACUCCAGAGCUAAGGCUAGCAUGUCUAUGAAAGAAAGGAACUAGUGUUUCCGGGUCCUUGGACAGAUUCCUUCCAGAGCAAGAGUAGCGUAUUUUCUGACCCUUUGUGUUUUUUCUUUUGAAACUGACAUUAUCUCUAAUUAUAUGUGGUCAAGUUCUAGAAGACAUUUAUCAUGUAUUGCCAAAACAUCACCCCCUGCUUUGCCAGUUCCUGUUUGCCCAGCCUGGCUGUGGCUGCUGAAAUAUCCCAUCUGCAAGGUGAACCCAGUUCCUAGCCAACCCAAGACUUGCUCCUCCCCAUCAUGGUUAGAUCUAGAAUUGGUCUGGAUGGCCUAUGUCUGGUAUGCAUUGAGCAAAAUGCCACACUGCUGUCUUCUCUGUGAACCCCUGUGGAUGGGCUUCUACUCUACUUCUAGAUUGAAUUCCAUUUCUAUUUUUGGGCUGAAAUUUUGUCCAAACCCCAAAGCCUUGUCCAGGGCUGUAGCAGUCUUCUAGGGCUGCCGUGACAAAUCACCACUUAAAACAGUAGAAGUUUAUUCUCUGAGUUCUGGAGGCCAGAAGUCUGAGAUCAAGGUAUGGGCAGUACUACACUCCCUCUGAAGGCUCUAAGGGAGAAUCUGCUCCAUGCUCCUUCCAGCUUCUGGUGGCUAUUGGGAUUCCUUGGCAUUCCAUGACUUGUAGCCACAUCACUAUAAUCUCUGCCUUUGUCUUCACAUUGCCCUCUCCUCUGUGUUUAUUCUAUAAGGAUACAGGUGAUUGCAUUUAGGGCCUACCUAGAUUAUUCAGGAUAAGUCCCUCUUUUUCAGAUCCUUAACUUAAUCACAUCUGCAAAGACUUUUUCCAAAUAAGGUCACAUUUAUAGGUUCCAGGGAUUUGAUGUGAUUUGAUAUCAUUUUGGGGCCAUUUUUCAGCCUAGCACAAGGGCCCUGACAAACUCCUGGCUUGUGCUGAUCCCUCUUUUUGGGGGAUCAGCCCCUUAUCUCUUUUGGCCUGGCCAAGGGUAUGUUUUAACAUGAGCGAGUCUGUCUGGAAUCAAAUUGUUAACCACUUGACUAUGACUGUCUCCACAGUCACACCUUUCUAGGCCUCCAUUUCUACACCCUUGGGUAUAAGUGCCAGCCUGGAUCAGAGUAAGCUUGCCUUUAAAUACUGUGAUUUAGUCUGAUGGACUCCUUCUCCACAAAUAAGCCCAAGCUCAGGUUAGUUAUUUUAGCUUGAGCCAUACUGGAAUGGCUUCCAUCUCCUUGUCAUCCUGGUAUUGAGGUUUCUGCAUGUCUCUUGGCAACGAUGUGUUGGCUAUAGUAUCAUCAUGUGUAUAACAUAUUUUUUUGCAUGCCUACCUUAUUCUGAGCUCUUUAUAGAACUUAUUUUACUUAAUCACUGUAGAUCAAGAAAUAGGGACACAGAAAGGCAUAGUGGCUCAUGCCUGUAAUCCCAGCACUUUGGGUGGCUGAGGCUGGCUGAUCCCUUGAGCUCAGGAGUUGGAGACCAGUCCGAGCAACAUGAUGAAACUCUGUCUCUACUAAAAAAAUACAAAAAUUGCUGGGUGUGGUGGCAUGCACCUGUGGUCCCAGCUACUAAGAAGGCUGAGGUGGGAGGAUCUCUUGAAUCCAGGAGGUUGAGGCUGCAGUGAGCCAAGAUUGCACCACUAUACUCCAGCCUGAGUGACAGAGAAGACCCUAUCUAAAAAAAAAAAAAAAAAAAAA